ACAAGCGUCAAUGUACGGACAGCUCCCCAUCCCCUCCCUUCCCCCUUCUCUCUCUCUCUCUCCUCCCUCUUCUCUCUCUCCUCUCUUCUCUCUCUCUCUCUCUCUCCCUCACCGCGUUCUCUCACGCUCCCCACCCCACCCCCUUUCUCUCUCCUAAAGCGGAAAGAAAUUCUCCUGUCCGGCUCUCAUAAUUUCGCUGUACUUUU
This 206-nucleotide long non-coding RNA is filed under the name Phoenix dactylifera (date palm). RNAcentral describes it as "long non-coding RNA (PDAC_LNC000592)". The record is from RNAcentral. Lineage: Eukaryota; Viridiplantae; Streptophyta; Magnoliopsida; Arecales; Arecaceae.